Small nuclear RNA from Pipistrellus kuhlii (Kuhl's pipistrelle), 107 nucleotides. The record is from RefSeq and is a predicted model, not a curated record. NCBI's taxonomy places the organism in Eukaryota, Metazoa, Chordata, Mammalia, Chiroptera, Vespertilionidae.
AUGCUCACAUCUGCAGUACAUACACUAACAUUGGAAUGGUACAGAGAAGAUAAGCAUGGUCCCUCUGCAAGGAUGACUCACACACAAGAAAUAUAGGGAGGUGUUUU